This 460-nucleotide ribosomal RNA is filed under the name uncultured bacterium. RNAcentral's name for it is "partial 16S ribosomal RNA". It matches the Rfam family "Bacterial small subunit ribosomal RNA", at positions 338 to 795 of the family's 1533-position model. The record is from RNAcentral.
CCUACGGGCGGCAGCAGUGAGGAAUAUUGGUCAAUGGCCGAGAGUCUGAACCAGCCAAGUAGCGUGAAGGCUGCCUGCCCUAUGGGUUGUAAACUUCUUUUAUCUGGGAAUAAAAUGUUCCACGUGUGGGAUUUUGUAUGUACCAUAUGAAUAAGGAUCGGCUAACUACGUGCCCGCAGCCGCGGUAAUACGGAGGAUCCGAGCGUUAUCCGGAUUUAUUGUGUUUAAAGGGAGCGUAGGCGGAUUGUUAAGUCAGUUGUGAAAGUUGACGGUUCAACCGUAAAAUUGCAGUUGAUACUGGCAGUCUUGAGUACAGUAGAGGGAGGGGGAAUGCGUGGUGUAGCGGUGAAAUGCGUAGAUAUCAAGAAGAAUUCCGAGUGCGAAGGCAGCUCACUGGACUGCAACUGACACUGAGGCUCGAAAGUGUGGGUAUCAAACAGGAGUAGAUACCCUAGUAGUC